GCUUCCCUGGCUCAGCUGGUUAGAGCGUUGGUCUCAUAAAUGUGUUUGUGAUCUGGAUAAACUUCAGAGCGAUCCAAAGGUCGUGAGUUCGAAUCUCACGGGAAGCA
Molecule: non-coding RNA, 107 nt
Organism: Podospora didyma
Lineage: Eukaryota; Fungi; Ascomycota; Sordariomycetes; Sordariales; Podosporaceae
Source: the annotation of a GenBank genome assembly